This 628-nucleotide long non-coding RNA is filed under the name Physcomitrium patens. RNAcentral's name for it is "long non-coding RNA (PPAT_LNC011086)". Lineage: Eukaryota; Viridiplantae; Streptophyta; Bryopsida; Funariales; Funariaceae. The record is from RNAcentral.
CCAAAUCUUACAUCAAUGGUAAGAAAAACAUCCAAAAGAGUAGAACAGUGUCAUAAUACGUGAAGUCUUGCUUGAGAAUGCUCCGGGCACCUGGCUAUGGAAGGUAGAAUAGAGAUUAGAAUAAUAAAAUCCUAAUUCUAAUAAAAUACUAACUAAAUUCUAAUUAGAUCAUAACAAUGCUAAGUAAGAUUUAAUCAAAUUCAAAGAAACCUCAAAAGAAUUACAAAGAAAUAUUAGAAUGAUCACAAAUAUAUCUCAAAUACAUCUCAAUUCAAUCUUAAUUUAAUCCUAGUUAAAAUCUUAUUGGACUUCAUUCAAACUUUAGGCCAAAAACUAACUAAAUCUUAAAUCCUAAAUAAAUCCUAAUAAAAUUCUAAAUCCUAAAUCAAAUCCUAAUCCUAAAUCCUAAACCAAAUCCUAACCAAAUUCUAACGCUAAAUCAAAUCAUAACCAAAUCCUAAAUCCUAAACCAAAUCCUAACCAAAUCUUAAUCUUAAAUCAAAUCCUAAUUAAAUCUUAAAUCCUAUAUCAAACCUUAAUUCUAAAUCAAACUCUAACCAAAUCCUAAAUCCUAAAUCAAAUCCAAAUCCUAAAUCAAAUCCUAAUCAAAUCCUAAUCCUAAAUCAAA